Molecule: long non-coding RNA, 5140 nt
Organism: Ostrinia nubilalis (European corn borer)
Lineage: Eukaryota; Metazoa; Arthropoda; Insecta; Lepidoptera; Crambidae
Exons: 4
Source: RefSeq, a predicted model, not a curated record
CUCGCCCCGAGAUACCUUUUCCAUUAGUCUAGUGGUGAGGUUCUGUAUCCAUUAUGUAGUUAUUUUUUAGUGUUAAGGGAGGUUUUAUUCACAAUGUAAUUCAGUACCUAAAGAUAAAGUACUUAGGAGCAAAAAUGUAGAGCACUAAUUUAUACUAAGAGGUGAUAAGUCCCUUUAGAAUAAAAAUGGCAGAGUCAUCGCCCGGUUGAGAACACAGUGCCAGAUGUCCUAAAAUUCGCAAAACCAACUGAAGAGUUCCUUUGAGGAUAACGAGGAACAGGAAUUUAAUGUUAACUACGUAUAACACACCAACACGUAAUAUGCGGGAUCUAAAACACACGAGGCAGGCCCAUUCCGUAGAAUUAUGGCACAAAUUAAGACCCUUUUGUUGCUAUAUUUCUAUCAAAUAAUACCGAAGGAGAAAUGAACAUCUAAGAAAUAAAAAACUCAUAAGAAUUUCAGGUCCUCAAAAUCUGAAUAGAAGACGCGGUAACCAUCAAACGACAUGACCUUAGAGGCGCCCCGUUAGUAAGGCUUAAGGCCUGGCCCAAUGAUAGAGCAGAUCAAUGAUAGACAAGGCCUAAUAGAGAAAGCGCAAAGAGCGCGAUAGAGCUGCCCAAAUUUUGACGUGCCCCAGUCAUUGACAAUGAAUUCGUAAAUUAAUUCACAACAUCUCUAUAUAAUGACUACGGCGAUGGAACCAGGCUUCUCUAGUAAAAUCUAGUAUUUUACGUCCCAAAUUUGUAUCAAGAUCUUUAUUUGUAAGUGGCGUCACCAAUCACGGUUUUUUGCAACAGCAGAGUAUUAGGGAGGUCUUUUUAUCUUGCACGGAAUAAACUACAACAUAGUCGAGUACAGGCCGGAAACUUGCAGUAUACCUACGCCAAAAAUAAAUAGAGUAACAUCAUUUUUUAUUUUAAAUUAAAACUAAGUAAUUGUAAUACUUAGCUUUCAUAACUUAAAAUUCAUUUUAAUAUUGUAUUUAAUGACAAUAAUAUAAUAUUCAUUAGGAUUAUUUCUCUAACACAUUUAUAUUAUCUUAAUAACCAAAAUUCUGUAACCAUCGGGAAAAAAUAUUUUAUGUAAUAUUUAUGAAAUAUGGGAAGAUAUAUAGUAAGUUUAGAACAAAUUCCGGGCGAUGACAUUCAUUAGAAUUAACUGAAGUUAUUAAACUUAUCAUAGUUUAUAUUUAAAGUUAUAAGCUUUUAUCGCAUUCCGUGUUUGACUAUUUGAAAACAAUACAUACUAUAAAUUAUUAUAUCAGGUUUGACUUAAGUUACAAUAAUACAAUAAUUAUUAGGUUAUUAAUAGUAGUACGUUUAACAUUAUAUAUUCGUAUAUAAUUAAAACGGCUGAGAAAAAGGUAUCUCCAAACAUAGUUAUCUUAACUAUGUUACUAGUAAUAAGACCUACAUAUUCCUAAAUAACGCAACAAAUAUUAAUGCAAUCGCAUUGCUUAAAUGUUAUAAGAAUACACUGCAAUAUUUGAUACUUAUAUAUCUCACAUACACAAUUAUAUUAUUAUAGUAAAUAUUCUUUCAUCAAUGGAAUGAGCGAUACAACAAUUUAAUAUAAACACUACUUAUAAUCUUCUAUCGAUAGUCAUUGCACCGGCUUGAAAUUUAAUCUAUCUAACUUCUCAUCACUACAGUUAUAUCAGUGUGUAACAAUCUAUAAUACGUAAUUUAUUUUUUGUUGUUAAAAAUUACCACUAGAAUCUAUUUAUUUUACUCUUUUUUAAAUAUUUUUAUUUUUGUAAUUAUCACUUUUUUAAACUUUCUGAUUGGAAUUUACGCAAAUUCAUAUACGUAAUGGUAUUAUUGUAAAAUGUUUCAGUUAUUAAACCAAUUUUAAUUUAGAUCUUUUUCUGUUUUAUUAAUAUAUUUUAAUACAGUAACCUUAUUCCCAAAUCUUUGAUAUUAUUAUUUUGUUUGGAAUUCCAACUAGGAAAAAUACAUAGUUACAUUUAAAUAUUUUUUCAUAAUUUUAUAAAACCUUGAAAGAACAUUUAUCUAGAAUAUUCUGUAAAUGUAUGAGAUAGCAUAAUAGUAGUAUUACACACUUAUUAAUAAUAAUGAGGCGAAUACUGUACGAAACACAAAUUAAUUACUACUCUUUUAUUAUUAGCAGUCCAUUCAAAUCAUGUAAACUGAAUAAGUUCUGAAUAGAAAUUAACUUUUUUCUUAAAAACUGCCCCAUUUUUACCUUGCAAGUAAUUAUUUAUUUUUUUACUUACCUACAUUAUUGAUACCCUUGUGUGAUAAGUAUUGAUGUGUUAUGUAGUUUGGCAAUAGAUUUUAAUUAAUAAGUAUUUUUCUUAUUGAUUAACUUUUCACCCCUGCUAGUUAACCCUGACAUAGACAAAGACACGACAAAAAUACCUACUGAGAGUGCAUGUGGUAUCUUUUGUUAAAAUUAAAUAUUGACAAUGGCACGUCAGCAAUGACAAGAACAUCGUCAAUAUUGGAUUGUCCAUUUUCUUAAUAUUUAGUUAUUUUGAGGACUUGCAUACAUAUUAAUUCCUGAAUAUCCAAAGCACAACUACAUCAAUAACAAGGAUCUUAGCUAUUUUUUAAUUUUUAAAAUUAAUAUAAUAGUUUAUCACUUAUAAAUUGUCUGCUAAAUCUUGUAAUUGAUUAGUUACUGCAGACCAAAUAAAUAACUCUGCAUCUAAUGUGGAGGGAAUACUGGUUGAAUCAUUUAAAUUUGUAGCCUUCAAAACAAAUGAAAUAAAGUAAUUGCUUGUAAUUAAUAAGUCCUCAAAACCGGAUUGCAGACCAGUAUGGCAGCAUCCGAAAUCAUUGGUUGUUUAGUCACGAUACUAUAUACUUAUAUUACAACUAUAUACAGGGUGUAAGGUAAAUGGGUAUAUCAGCCGACACUAGCCCAUGUUAACAUGGUCAUAUAAAUGGAAUGGUGUAGUCAGAAAAUUGAUAUCUUCAUUUUAUUUUUCAUACAAAUCGGAUUUUAUAAAAUUUGUUUAAUAUGAAAAUUAAAAAAAUUAAAAUGAUGACAUCAAAUUUCUGACUUCACCAUACCAUUUAUAUGCCCAUGUUAACAUGGGCUAGUGUCGGCUCAUAUACCCAUUUACCUAACACCCUGUAUAAAGUUUUAACUUAAAUGCUUGGUUGCUCGUAUCAAGCCAUUAGUGAUAGAUGGUUAGAUAGAGUAGGAUAGGUAUUAGGGCAGAAAUAAGGGUGUCAAAAACUGUUACAAGGACCUAAGAGACCUGACAUGGACGUCCUCUGUUGAUGAAUGGGACUGGUGAAAACUUCACCAUGGAGAAUAAGUCCCUUUUUUAUUUAUUCAAUAAAUACAAACUUUGAGCAAUUUAAUUAAAGCUUGACACAGAGUACCUUACUAUGCUUGGGCAUUAUAUUGUUAAGUUUCUUUGCAUUUAGCAUUAAACAUUUGUUGUUACUAUGUUUAUAAUUUGUGCAAUAUUAAUUCAUUGCCACUAAUGAAUUUAACAAAUAACGGCUAAUCUUGUGUGACUAUACUUAGUUUUUGUGUCGAAGUAAAUAAAUAGAAUCGCAUCUAAAUAUUAAUCUUCAAAGCGUAAAACAAGCUAUUUAGCAAUAUCCAUUAACCAUUGUUUAUUACAUUUGUUUAUGAUUUUAAUAAACGUUAGUUUUUUUGUGAAUUAACGUGCCCACCCUUUGCAAACUAACCCCGACGAGGACAUAAAACGACACGACGCAAAUACCUAUUAGUAAAAUAAUGGGUAUUUAAGUUUUUAAAGUUCAGUAUUGUUAAUGGAAUGUCAGCAAUGGCUAGUACUUAGCAAUAUUGGACCAUGAUAUUCAUACAUAAAGUUUUUGUUACAUAGGUUUUAGGCUAGGAUGAAAUAGAUUUUGGAUUACAAGAAACAAAAUUACAGAAGACGAGGACGUUCUAAUUUUGGCACAGUUAUUGUUAUUUUUUAUUAGAAGAUUUGAGAAUUGUAUUUUUAUGAAACUUUAACUAAAUACAUUUUGACUUCAUAUAAUUUCUCCACACAUGUUUUGUCACAAAUGUAAUAUUUAUUGUAAUUGUCCAUAAAUUGCACACUGCUUAGUUACUUUUCAUAAGUAAUUUAUCAAUAAAAUGAUUUUGUUUGUGAUUUAGUGUUUGUAAAGUACUUUGUCCACCUUUGUAAUUACAAAUUAACGUUUAAUUUAAUAAGACAAGGACAAAUGACACGACCAAAAUGCCUAUUAGUAAAAUAGUGGGUAUUUAAGUUUUAUUGUUUAAUAUUGUUAAUGGUAAGCCAGCAAUGGCGAGAACAUCAGCAAUAUUAGACUCCUGGUUGUAAUGACACUAAACAAAAAUAAUUAUUAAAAAAAUAAUAAUAUUUGUCAAUAUUAUGUGUCUAAGAUAAUAAAUAUAUUGUAACUUUAUAAUAAUUAAAUUUUUAUGCAAUGCAAAAUUUAAAGUUAAAUGAAAUUGUAAUAUUUUUCUAAAUAAUUAAAACUGUUAGGUCGUUACAACUAUUUAAACACUUCUACUGAGUUUCUUGCCGGUUCUUCUCAGUAGUGCGUAGGUUCCGAACCGGUGGUAGAGUCAACUAAAAACUUUAUCCGGCGAUUUAAAUCCGGAAAAAUAAUUUGAACAUUUUCAAAAUUUUUACCUAAACAUCACUAUCACACUGGGGAACAGAAAUUGUAAUGAUACGUAAUUGGCAUCUAGAGUAUUGUAAGGUUUAAAUUGUAAUUUAACAUUAUUUAUUGAUGUACUUUUUACUUAUUAUUAUUGUUACUGUAAUGACAAUUUACUGGUCAAAAUGCUGCUAUGUUUUAAGAGCUGUUUAAAAAUAAUUAAUUUAAUUAUGGUUAUUUUUGUUGUAUCAUAUAUUUUUUUAAAGCUACCUAAGUACAGAAUCAUAAAAAUAUCUUUAAGUGGUGAAUUCAAGUUUGUUUGUUACCCAAAUUAUAAAUAGUUCUAAUAACUGAAAUUCGAUUGUAUUAAUGUCAACUCGUAAUAAUGAAACUGGAUUGGAAUUUUGAUUAAAGCUACUAUUUUUAGGAUAAUGCAAAAUUGUUGUAAGUUUAUACCUGUGUUAGAUAAAUUCAUUAUAAAUCGUCAAGUUCCCCAGUGACAAAUCCAUAACUAAAUGUCAAAUUCAAAUACAUAAUACAAAAAUAAAUGCUAUUAAACAUAA